This 69-nucleotide transfer RNA is filed under the name Carettochelys insculpta (pitted-shelled turtle). RNAcentral describes it as "tRNA-Asp". Lineage: Eukaryota; Metazoa; Chordata; Testudines; Carettochelyidae. The record is from RNAcentral.
GAGACGUUAGUAAAUCAAUUACAUAAUCUUGUCAAGAUUAAAUAAAAGGUUUAAACCCUUUACGACUCA